Gadus morhua (Atlantic cod) is the source of this 919-nucleotide long non-coding RNA. RefSeq lists it as uncharacterized. The record is from RefSeq and is a predicted model, not a curated record. The transcript has 2 exons. NCBI's taxonomy places the organism in Eukaryota, Metazoa, Chordata, Actinopteri, Gadiformes, Gadidae.
AUACACCUAUGUGUAGACUAAUAUCUUCUCUCGGAACGAUCAAAAUAAAACAUGUUAGGAUACUGCAAAGCAUGUACCAGAAGGUCCCUGUGUGCGUUAAGACGACGUGGAAUGGUAGCCUACAAGAAAAUCUUUAAACCCUCAAGAGCUGAAAUUCCCCUGAAUCUCGUAUUAGCUCGGCUGCCAACAUAGGAUACCCUAUUGUGUUUAGGGGAAGAUAAAAUGCAAUGGUGCAUGCGGUUCCAUGACGCCUGCCAUCAACGCAUAGCACUAUAUCGCUUCGUCGGUCGCUGUCCGAUUCAGCACCGCUUCCCGCGCCCGAGCCGCGCGCAUGCCGUAAAGGCUACCAUAACAUUCCAGUAUCAGGACGGUCCUACUUUAGCAUCGUGCGCUAUAAGCAUGCUCCGAGAGCCUCGAGAUUCACCGUAUUUCACCUCAUCUAAAACAGCGUUCGCUAAACAAGGUCAGCCUUGGCUCCCUCCCAUCUGGGAGCGCAGAGAAGAUCACCAUGGUGAUCCAGGAGACCCAGCGUCUCUUCUGCUCCUCCUUCCCCUGGGUCACGGUGACAGAGGACAGACAGCAGGCCAUCUGCCUUCUGCUGCCCAUCACUCCUUACCAGAUCUCCACUCUGUCUCCAUGUUUGAAUAGGAUUGAUAAGUAAACUAGUAAUGUGCUUUGAUCUGAAACCCCAGCUUGUAACCCUACUUUGUUACAAUUUAUAAUGAUUUCUUUAAUAAAGCUGUAUAUAUAUAUAUAUAUAAAUAUAUAUAUACAGGUUUGGCACAAAACACCCGUUUAUCUAAAAGGGGGCGGAUUAUAUACGAUGACUUAACAUUGGAGCACCCUAUGGGAGCGCCAUGGAGGCAUUUAAUAAACAAGCAAGGUGGCUGCCGCUGUCCCAGGCAUGGACAUAAAGGUC